CUCGAAUUAAUACCGCAUACGACCUACGGGAGAAAGGCGCGGCAACUUGUUGCUCUCGCUAUUAGAUGAGCCUAAGUCGGAUUAGCUAGAUGGUGGGGUAAAGGCCUACUAUGGCGACGAUCUGUAGCUGGUCUGAGAGGAUGAUCAGCCACACCGGGACUGAGACACGGCCCGGACUCCUACGGGAGGCAGCAGUGGGGAAUAUUGGACAAUGGGGGAAACCCUGAUCCAGCCAUGCCGCGUGUGUGAAGAAGGUCUUCGGAUUGUAAAGCACUUUAAGUUGGGAGGAAGGGCAUUAACCUAAUACGUUAGUGUUUUGACGUUACCGACAGAAUAAGCACCGGCUAACUCUGUGCCAGCAGCCGCGGUAAUACAGAGGGUGCAAGCGUUAAUCGGAAUUACUGGGCGUAAAGCGCGCGUAGGUGGUUUGUUAAGUUGAAUGUGAAAUCCCCGGGCUCAACCUGGGAACUGCAUCCAAAACUGGCAAGCUAGAGUAUGGUAGAGGGUAGUGGAAUUUCCUGUGUAGCGGUGAAAUGCGUAGAUAUAGGAAGGNAGCACCNAGUGGNCGAAGGCGACUACCUGGACUGAUACUGACACUGAGGUGCGAAAGCGUGGGUAGCAAACAGGAUUUAGAUACCCUGGUAGUCCACGCCGUAAACGAUGUCAACUNAGCCNGUUGGGUCCCUUGAGGACUUNAGUGGCGCAGCUAACGCAAUAAGUUNGACCGCCNUGGGGAGUACGGCCGCAAGGUUAAAACUCAAAUGAAUUNGACGGGGGCCCNGCNACAAGCGGUNGGAGCAUGNUGGUUUAAUUNCGAUGCAACGCGAAGAACCUUNACCUNACCCUUGNACAUCCAGAGGNACUUUNNCCAGANGAUNGGAUUGGNUGCCNUUNCGGGNAACUCUGAGACAGGUGCUGCAUGGCUGUCGUCAGCUCGUUGUUGUGAAAUGUUGGGUUAAGUCCCGUAACGAGCGCAACCCCUAUCCUUAUUUGCCAGCGAGUAAUGUCGGGAACUCUAAGGAGACUGCCGGUGACAAACCGGAGGAAGGUGGGGACGACGUCAAGUCAUCAUGGCCCUUACGGGUAGGGCUACACACGUGCUACAAUGGCAAGUACAAAGGGUUGCAAUACUGCGAAGUGGAGCCAAUCCCAUAAAGCUUGCCUCAGUCCCGGGAUUGGAGUCUGCAACUCGACUCCAUGAAGUCGGAAAUCGCUAGUUAAUUCUGUUGGAUUCAG
This 1236-nucleotide ribosomal RNA is filed under the name uncultured bacterium. Its description in RNAcentral is "partial 16S ribosomal RNA". It matches the Rfam family "Bacterial small subunit ribosomal RNA", at positions 157 to 1359 of the family's 1533-position model. The record is from RNAcentral.